UACCCUCUGCGGUGUUUGUAUUGUUCUGUUAAUCCUGUGGACCUAUAAGUUAAUACCAAGGGAGCCAGACUGUAGAUGCCGUUGUGCAAGUCCACCUCGUAGUGGAAAGCCUGAAGCGUCUCUAAGGCACCCGAUUUAAUUCUGCCGGUUCAAGGCGGAAGGACAGUACGGCACAGGCGGAGGGUAC
RNAcentral lists this non-coding RNA (187 nucleotides) under Gammaproteobacteria bacterium. Its description in RNAcentral is "6S RNA". It matches the Rfam family "6S / SsrS RNA". Rfam says of the family: E. coli 6S RNA was the first non coding RNA to be sequenced, but its function was unknown until recently. It consists of 184 nucleotides that fold into an extended hairpin structure with a large single-stranded internal bulge. Lineage: Bacteria; Pseudomonadati; Pseudomonadota; Gammaproteobacteria. The record is from RNAcentral.